Ochlerotatus camptorhynchus is the source of this 883-nucleotide long non-coding RNA. RefSeq lists it as uncharacterized. The transcript is spliced from 2 exons. The record is from RefSeq and is a predicted model, not a curated record. NCBI's taxonomy places the organism in Eukaryota, Metazoa, Arthropoda, Insecta, Diptera, Culicidae.
GCUUAAGCCGCAGCUGAUGGUUUCAGUCUCUGUUAGCACCUUGGAGCGGUCCAGUGUAGAGAGAGAAGCCUCAGCAUGCCGCUGCUGAAGAGGAAUAUUACCGACACAAGUUUCAUCAUCAGUAUCGAAAGUGGUGUCGAAGAUAUCCAGGAGGAAAAGAAUCCUACACCGACCAACGAAGACUGUGAUUUUCUGGUGAAUUUCAUCACCGGCGAAGAAUCACUGUCAGCCAGCUUUUGCUGUAAGCUGUUUUACACAAUAUUCCGCCUCUGUUUCGUAGGCGAGGAGGGCGCCCGGUGGCAGACGGCGAUGAAGAAACGAUCCACAUCUCGUACAAUUUAAAUAUUUAACCGAAAACCGGACCCUCUGCAGCAGCUUCAUAGCAUCGCUGCACAUCCACGUGCAGGAAGCGAAGGUCGGCGGUCGAGUCGAGACCGGCGCGUUAGCUAAGCAAACCAAAAAAUCCAUGAAUGAGUGAACAGCGUGUGAGCUGAUAUUUUGUUAGUGAAAUAGAAACCCUUUUAUGUAGUGUUCGAUAGUGCUGGUGUAAAAAUCUCUCGGAGAUGGUUGUUAACGGAAAAAAAAAUCGUGAACUGGUUUUCGGUUUGAAUAGAUUUUCUGGAUGAAGCUUAUUGAGUAGGAUUCAUCUAUUCCGAUUUGCUGCUCGUGAACUGUAAAACAAUAAAUUGUAACUACUGACUUACUAUAUCGUCUAGCCAACAGAGCACUACUCGGAUGCAAUCAUAGCCGUACUCAUAACAAUUGUAAAUGCUUUAUGAUUGUUACAUGCGAAAAAAGUACUGCAAGUGCGAAUGAUCAAUACUGUGUAACAUCGCAUUUUUAAGUACCUUGUGAAUAAAUUUAUUGAACCCCAUGUAUCAAA